AGUGAACGCUGGCGGUAGGCCUAACACAUGCAAGUCGAACGGCAGCACAGUAAGAGCUUGCUCUUACGGGUGGCGAGUGGCGGACGGGUGAGGAAUACAUCGGAAUCUACUUUUUCGUAGGGGAUAACGUAGGGAAACUUACGCUAAUACCGCAUACGACCUACGGGUGAAAGCAGGGGAUCUUCGGACCUUGCGCGAUUGAAUGAGCCGAUGUCGGAUUAGCUAGUUGGCGGGGUAAAGGCCCACCAAGGCGGCGAUCCGUAGCUGGUCUGAGAGGAUGAUCAGCCACACUGGAACUGAGACACGGUCCAGACUCCUACGGGAGGCAGCAGUGGGGAAUAUUGGACAAUGGGCGCAAGCCUGAUCCAGCCAUACCGCGUGGGUGAAGAAGGCCUUCGGGCUGUAAAGCCCUUUUGUUGGGAAAGAAAAGCAGCAGGUUAAUACCCCGCUGUUCUGACGGUACCCAAAGAAUAAGCACCGGCUAACUUCGUG
RNAcentral lists this ribosomal RNA (492 nucleotides) under uncultured bacterium. RNAcentral's name for it is "partial 16S ribosomal RNA". It matches the Rfam family "Bacterial small subunit ribosomal RNA", at positions 29 to 507 of the family's 1533-position model. The record is from RNAcentral.